AUGAACGCUAGCGACAGGCCUAACACAUGCAAGUCGAGGGGCAGCACAAGGAGCAAUCUGAGGUGGCGACCGGCGCACGGGUGAGUAACACGUAUGCAACCUGCCUGUAAGCGGGGAAUAACCCGUUGAAAGACGGACUAAUACCGCAUAAUACUAAAUUACUGCAUGGUAAUUUAUUUAAACAUUUAUGGCUUACAGAUGGGCAUGCGCAUGAUUAGCUAGUUGGAGAGGUAACGGCUCCCCAAGGCAACGAUCAUUAGGGGUUCUGAGAGGGAGGUCCCCACACUGGUACUGAGACACGGACCAGACUCCUACGGGAGGCAGCAGUGAGGAAUAUUGGUCAAUGGACGAGAGUCUGAACCAGCCAAGUCGCGUGCAGGAAGAAUGUCCUAAUGGAUUGUAAACUGCUUUUGCAGGGGAAUAAAGUGCAUCACGUGUGAUGUUUUGUAUGUACUCUGCGAAUAAGGAUCGGCUAACUCCGUGCCAGCAGCAGC
Molecule: ribosomal RNA, 494 nt
Filed under: uncultured bacterium
Lineage: Bacteria
Description: bacterial SSU rRNA
Rfam family: Bacterial small subunit ribosomal RNA
Source: RNAcentral